AUUGAACGCUGGCGGCAGGCCUAACACAUGCAAGUCGAGCGGAUGAAGGGAGCUUGCUCCUGGAUUCAGCGGCGGACGGGUGAGUAAUGCCUAUGAAUCUGCCUGGUAGUGGGGGAUAACGUCCGGAAACGGGCGCUAAUACCGCAUACGUCCUGAGGGAGAAAGUGGGGGAUCUUCGGACCUCACGCUAUCAGAUGAGCCUAGGUCGGAUUAGCUAGUUGGUGGGGUAAAGGCCUACUAAGGCGACGAUCCGUAACUGGUCUGAGUGGAUGAUCAGUCACACUGGAACUGAGACACGGUCCAGGCUCCUAAGGGAGGCAGCAGUGGGGAAUAUUAGACAGUGGGCGAAAGCCUGAUCCAGCCAUGCCGCGUGUGUGAAGAAGGUCUUCGGAUUGUAAAGCACUUUAAGUUGGGAGGAAGGGCAGUCAGUUAAUACCUUGCUGUUUUGACGUUACCAACAGAAUAAGCACCGGCUAACUUCGUG
This 484-nucleotide ribosomal RNA is filed under the name uncultured bacterium. RNAcentral's name for it is "partial 16S ribosomal RNA". It matches the Rfam family "Bacterial small subunit ribosomal RNA", at positions 30 to 507 of the family's 1533-position model. The record is from RNAcentral.